Molecule: ribosomal RNA, 441 nt
Filed under: uncultured bacterium
Lineage: Bacteria
Description: partial 16S ribosomal RNA
Rfam family: Bacterial small subunit ribosomal RNA
Source: RNAcentral
CCUACGGGAGGCUGCAGUGGGGGAUAUUGCACAAUGGGGGGAACCCUGAUGCAGCGACGCCGCGUGGGUGAAGGAGUGCUUCGGCAUGUAAAGCCCUAUCGGCAGGGAAGAAGCAAGACGGUACCUGACUCAUACGCACCGGCUAACUACGUGCCAGCAGCCGCGGUAAUCCGGAGGGGGCGAGCGUUAUCCGGAUUCACUGGGUGUAAAGGGAGCGUAGACGGCCAUGCAAGCCAGGGGUGAAAGCCCGGGGCCCAACCCCGGGACUGCCCUUGGAACUGGAUGGCUGGAGUGCGGGGGGGGCAGGCGGAAUUCCGGGUGUAGCGGUGAAAUGCGUAGAUAUCAGGAGGAACACCGGCGGCGAAGGCGGCCUGAUGGAUCGCGACUGACGUUGAGGCUCGAAAGCGUGGGGAGCGAACAGGAUUAGAGACCCCGGUAGUC